UCGCGAAUCAUUCACAAUGGACGCAAGUCUGAUGAUGCCACGCCGCGUGCGGGAUGAAGGCCCUUUGGGUUGUAAACCGUUGUCAAGGGAGGGGAAACACCUAGUGUUAACAGCGCUAGGCUUGACUGCUCCCUAAAGGAAGCCCCGGCAAAACAUGUGCCAGCAGCCGCGGUAAUACAUGUGGGGCAAGCGUUGUUCGGAAUUACUGGGCAUAAAGGGUGCGUAGGCGGUUUGUUAAGUCACUGGUGAAAGUUUGCGGCCCAACCGUAAAAUUGCCUGUGAUACUGGCGAACUUGAGUGCGUGAGGGGUAGGGGGAACGAGCAGUGUAGCGGUGAAAUGCGUAGAUAUUGCUCGGAAGGCCGGAGCCGAAGGGGCCCUACUGGUACGUAACUGACGCUGAGGCACGAAAGCGUGGGGAGCAAACAGGAUUAGAUACCCCUGUAGUCCCUGAGCGGGCUGGCAAGGCGCAU
Molecule: ribosomal RNA, 471 nt
Filed under: uncultured bacterium
Lineage: Bacteria
Description: bacterial SSU rRNA
Rfam family: Bacterial small subunit ribosomal RNA
Source: RNAcentral